Mus musculus (house mouse) is the source of this 1325-nucleotide RNA transcript. It is a transcript of the gene named predicted pseudogene 10364, with no coding region annotated. The transcript has 2 exons. NCBI's taxonomy places the organism in Eukaryota, Metazoa, Chordata, Mammalia, Rodentia, Muridae. The record is from RefSeq and is marked validated.
AGGAGGAACUCUUCAGGAGAGGAGACUUAACCAAGGAGCUUACCCGUCUGCUUCCAGCUCUGACCCUGAGCGAGACAGCCCCAUCUUCUUGUGCAGUGCCAGCCUUGUCCCGUAGACAAAAUGAUGAAGGUCAGUGUGAACUGAUUUGGCCGUAUUGGGUGCCUGGUUACCAGGACUGCCAUCUGCUCUCCACUUGGAAAGUGGAGAUUGUUGCCAUCAACGACCCCUCCAUUGACCUCAACUACAUGGUCUACAUGUUCCAGUAUGACUCCACCCAUGGCAAAUUCAAUGACACAGUCAAGACUGAGAAUGGGAAGCUUGUCAUCAACGAGAAGCCCAUCACCAUCUUCCAGGAGUGAGACCCCGCUAACAUCAAAUGGGGUGGUGCUGGUGCUGGUGCUGAGUAUGUUGUGGAAUCUACUGGCAUCUUCACCAUCUUGGAGAAGGCCAGGGCUCACUUGAAUGGUGGAUCCAAAAGGGUCAUCAUCUCGGCCCCUUCUGUGGAUGCCCCCAUGUUUGUGAUGGGUGUGAACCACGAGAAGUAUGACAAUUCACUCAAGAUUGUCAGUAAUGCAUCCUGCACCACCAACUGCUUAGAUUCCCUGGCCAAGGUCAUCCAUGACAACUUUAGCAUUGUGGAAGGGCUCAUGACCAUGGUCCAUGCCAUCACUGCCACUCAGAAGACUGUGGAUGGUCCCUCUAGAAAGCUGUGGUGUGAUGGCUGCCCAGAACAUCUUGUCCAGCACUGCAUCCACUAGUGCUGCCAAGGCUGUGGGCAAGGUCAUUCCAGAGCUGAACAGGAAGCUCUCUGGCAUAGCCUUCUGUGUUCCUACCCCAAAUGUAUCCACUGUGGAUCUGACAUGCCGCCUGGAGAAACCUGCCAAGUAUGAUGACAUCAAAAAGGUGGUGAAGCAGGCAUCUGAGGACCCACUGAAGGGCAUCCUGGUCUACACUGAGGACCAAGUUGUCUCCUGUGACUUCACCAUUCUUCCACCUUUGAUGCUGGGACUGGCAUUGCUCUCAAUGGCAAUGUUGUCAAGCUCAUUUCCUGGUAUGACAAUGAAUAUGACUACAGCAACAGGGUGGUGGACCUCAUGGCCUACAUGGCCUCCAAGGAGUAAGAAACCGUGGACCACCCACCCCAGCAAGGACACUGAGAGCAAGAGAGAGGCGCUCGUUUGCUGAGGGGUCCCUAUCCCAACAUGGCCCCCCUACACUGAGCAUCUCCCUCACAAUUUCCAUCCCAGACCCCCCAUAAUAACAGAAGGGGCCUAGGGAGCCCUCCCUACUCUCUUGAAUGCCAUCAAUAAAGUUCACUGCACCCC